GACGAACGCUGGCGGCGUGCUUAACACAUGCAAGUCGAGCGGUAAGGCCCUUUCGGGGGUACGACGAGCGGCGAACGGGUGAGUAACACGUGGGUGACCUGCCCUUAGCUCUGGGAUAAGCCUGGGAAACUGGGUCUAAUACCGGAUAUGACUCCAUAACGCAUGUUGUGGGGUGGAAAGCCUUGUGCGGCUAGGGAUGGGCCCGCGGCCUAUCAGCUUGUUGGUGGGGUGAUGGCCCACCAAGGCGACGACGGGUAGCCGGCCUGAGAGGGCGACCGGCCACACUGGGACCGAGACACGGCCCAGACUCCUACGGGAGGCAGCAGUGGGGAAUCUUGCGCAAUGGGCGAAAGCCUGACGCAGCGACGCCGCGUGGGGA
Molecule: ribosomal RNA, 379 nt
Filed under: uncultured bacterium
Lineage: Bacteria
Description: bacterial SSU rRNA
Rfam family: Bacterial small subunit ribosomal RNA
Source: RNAcentral